RNAcentral lists this small RNA (819 nucleotides) under Cryptococcus neoformans H99. RNAcentral describes it as "Cryptococcus neoformans var. grubii H99 hypothetical RNA". Lineage: Eukaryota; Fungi; Basidiomycota; Tremellomycetes; Tremellales; Cryptococcaceae. The record is from RNAcentral.
GCUUUUUUAAAUUCUCAUCAAUCAUCUCCUUGAACUGACUGACAAUUGCACCUUCCUUCUUCAUCCUCUCCUCCCGCUGCAACUUUAGAAUCGCCCUCUUCUCAGCUUCAUUGAUCACUUGGUUCUCUUUGCGCAUGCGGACUGCAUUCAUGCGUUGGUGGCGAGAGCCCGACAUGACAUAGCCAGAGGAUUCGAAUACGGCAAUUUGUUCGGAAUCGAGACCGAUUUCACCUCGUCGGGGAAUACGUUGACCAGAUUCGGCAUAUGCCAUGAUAGCUUCUCCUUCGCCGGGAAGCAUGUUGGUGAAGCUAGUAAAAAGAUUAGUAGCGGUAAAAAUCAAGUCAAGUAGAAUUCGACGCCACUCACGCGGAUCGUCCUUUCUUUUCACUGAUUUCCUUAGGUAACUGCGGUCCAACUUCAACAUCGUCAUCGUCGUAUUCAACGACUUGUUCCUUGAUGGGCGCAGAGAUAACCUCCUUUCCUUUCGAUUGCCUCUCAUGGCCUUUUUCGACCCAUUGGUCAUCGUCCGUCUUUUCGCUCCGGCGCCUUUUUCGCCUCUCCCGCUCUUCUUCAUCCGAAUCAUACCUUCUUUCUCGAUCCCUGUCUUUCCCCCGGUCUUUUUCUCUCUCCUUCACACGUUUUCUACGUCGACGUCUUCGUUCUUCUUCAGAAUCCGUAGAAUCAGAAUCGGAGUACUUGGAGCGCUUUGACCGUUUUGAUUUCGACUUGCGAGAAGAUUUGGAUUUUGACUUUUUGCGUUCGGCUUCAAUUUCACUGGUUGCUAUUAGCGACUUUAUUUUGGUAUGCAGAAAUGAGAAA